RNAcentral lists this ribosomal RNA (346 nucleotides) under Clostridioides difficile. Its description in RNAcentral is "partial 23S ribosomal RNA". It matches the Rfam family "Bacterial large subunit ribosomal RNA", at positions 527 to 873 of the family's 2925-position model. Lineage: Bacteria; Bacillati; Bacillota; Clostridia; Peptostreptococcales; Peptostreptococcaceae. The record is from RNAcentral.
CGGGAGGGGAGUGAAAUAGAACCUGAAACCCUGCACUUACAAGCUGUGGAAGCACAUUUCUUGUGUGACCGCGUACUUUUUGUAGAACGGGCCAACGAGUUACGUUAAGUAGCAAGGUUAAGCACUUAAGGUGCGGAGCCGUAGCGAAAGCGAGUUUUAACUGAGCGUUCAGUUAUUUGACGUAGACCCGAAACCGGGCGACCUACCCAUGAGCAGGAUGAAGCGAAAGUAAAAUUUCGUGGAGGUCCGAACCCACGAGCGUUGAAAAGCUCGGGGAUGACUUGUGGGUAGCGGUGAAAUUCCAAUCGAGCCCGGAGAUAGCUGGUUCUCCCCGAAAUAGCUUUAG